GAUCCAUUAGCUCAGCUGGCAGAGCACUUGACUCUUAAUCAAGGGGUCCUGGGUUCGAUCCCCAGAUGGAUCACCA
Molecule: transfer RNA, 76 nt
Filed under: Clostridiaceae bacterium
Lineage: Bacteria; Bacillati; Bacillota; Clostridia; Eubacteriales; Clostridiaceae
Also listed under: 1 other name
Description: tRNA-Lys
Rfam family: tRNA
About the family: Transfer RNA (tRNA) molecules are approximately 80 nucleotides in length.
Source: RNAcentral